Molecule: long non-coding RNA, 411 nt
Filed under: Gossypium barbadense (sea-island cotton)
Lineage: Eukaryota; Viridiplantae; Streptophyta; Magnoliopsida; Malvales; Malvaceae
Description: long non-coding RNA (GBAR_LNC000769)
Source: RNAcentral
AUCGAAAACCAAACUCAUAGAGAAAAUACAGAAUACCCUGAUAAUUCUUCAAAGAAAGAAAGUCCAGAAGAAAACAUCAUUUAAUCCCACUGAAAUCAAAUAUAACAAGGUCAAUAUAUCUUCCCAUACAUAUAUAUCAGAUGAAGCAUCAAGUAGAAGAAACAGAAUCAUAAUAUCAUAUGUAUUCUCUCAUCAAUUCUUAUCAGACGAAAUGAAAUAGAAUACCUGAUGAAAUAGAGCAAUAUAAAUUAUAAACCAGUCAGACUACCAAUGCUUUCAUCCAACACCAGAAUUAGAAGACAUUCCCAUAUAACAAGAAUUUCUUCAGAAGAUCAAUAGCCAUAGAAAUAUUUCUAAGAACGGGUGAACACAUAGAACAUCUCAAAAGAGACUGCUAAAUCUGUCCGGUCA